GUCGGCGUCGCUGUUCGCGCAUGCAGCGCAGUCGACGCAAGAAAUGAGAGAAAAACCAUUCUCUCAUUUUGUCUCAUUUCAAAUUUUACGCUCUGAAACGAAAAAAGAGAGCGGAGGCAGCGCAGCUUGCCUUUUCAUUUUCUUUCCUUCUCCUUCUUCGUUUAAAAUUUGCUUCUUCUUCUUUUUUUGGGCGCAAAUAGGAUUACACAUUGUGUGUGUGUGUGUGCGUGUGCCUGUGUGUGUGGAAGAGCGAGAGGGCCGUACUCAUCUUAUUGGAAUUGGAAGUACAGUGGACACUUGGCAACUGGAAAGGGAUGCAUGAUCCUAGAUAACCGCAGGAGUAUUAUUUGUGUAGCUCUUCUUACCAUAUUUUUUGUAAUACUUCAGUCACUAUAAGCUUUAAACUCUAUUAAGUUACUAGAACUAUGUAUAUAUUAUAUUUGCAAAAUAUAAAAAAAAAAAUAUAGUAACCGCUUUAAAGAUAAAUGAAGUUCUAGAAAGUGAAUCCGUAAACUAGUUAAAAGUGAAACAAAAUUAACGGAUUAAAGGUACAAAGCAGUAUUACCAACUUGUCUGUGCUACGAGUGCACACUGUAUGUAGCACCCACAUACACAUAUGCAUUUUCCUGGAUGCAUUUUGGAUUUUCGGGCAAAUCCCGUUGCCAUUGGCCACGCUGGCCAUGUUUGUUGCCCUUUCUGUCGCACUUGCACAUCAUCUAGCGAUGCACAUCCAGAUCUUCGUGUGCAUAUGUAUGUGUGUAUGUAUGUAAAUACAUUUGUUUGUUAUGUGCUCAUCCAUAGCUGUGAGCAUCCCCAACCAUAUCCGUAUCCAUUAACCCCCGUGCGGACACUUCCUGGCCAGUUCCUCAACCUUAACCUCUAGGCUGUGUCCAGAGCGGAAGUCGGAGACGAUCGAGUCUCUUUUUGGUCCCUUUUCACCUUUUCAGGGUGCGUCAUCAGCAAUCACUCAGCAUGGAAAUUAACAUCAUUGUACCGCAAGAAAUACCAUGUAGCUUGCCUCUGACUCUGGUUUAUAUUAUUCACCAAUUUACUUGCGGUAUAACAUUAUUAUUAUGGUGUUUUCUUUAUUACUCAUGCUUGUUCAGUGAAGUUUCUGGCUACUGUCAAAUUUGUCUCCGAUUUUUCUUCGAGUGUUCUGCAAGAACUUUGUCGUUACAGUUGACCGCCCCAUAAGACUUCAAUGUUGCCAAGUAGACGAGAGGUCAAUUUUAAAGAGUGCGUCAGCUGCCGAAAGAAUGUAAAUUAGGUGACUAGCAACCCAUUUUCCAAGAGCAUCUCUUCCAAAAAUCGAUGCAUUCGAUCGAUUCUCCCUCCACUCGAAGAAAAAGUAAUGCAAAACAAUUGUAACAACAGAGGCGCAACAAUGAAAAUAAAAAUAAAUGAGCACAAUAAUACAAUGCAAGCGCACAAGCAAAAAAAGGCGGCGAAAUUGUGCAAAAAAUGCAGCAAGAGUUCAAUACACUCGCCCACUCACCCACACUUCUGCACUCACACCGACACGAACACGCGCCCCUACGCACACACACACACGCACACACACCACAGCACUCGCACACUAGCACACACAGCGACACGUGCAACGCGCUGUUUGUACACAAUUUAAUAAUAUUUACGUUUUGUUUAUAAUGAACUUGAAAAAUUCGCACAGUGGUUCAGCGAUUAAAAACGAAAACUUGCGGAAAAGUGGCAAAAUUAUGCCGCAAUUGGGUAUAUUCUAUCGUAAAAGUUUUUACAGAUACAUUUUGAGAGAUCCUAAGAUCCUUAAUAAUAUUAACUCCCAAGUUUGUAUAUAUGUACAUAUAAUAUUGGAAAACAUUGCUGCGUGCGUCACUGUCUUUUUGAGUUGGUUGCGCAUGCGCGUGGGUGGCACAAUAAAUACAAUAAAUACAAUAAACACAAUAACAACAAUAUAAUGGUAAUGGCAGUGCGUGUUAAAUAAACAUUAAAAGCCAGCCAGAUAUGAUAUACGUACACUGCAUUUUUGCCAUAUGCUAACAGCUGAGAAACCAAAGUGUUUCAGUUUCAAUUUCAGUUUCGGUUUCAGUUUCUGUAUCAAUUUCCCUUUUCAAUUUGCCGUUUUCAAUGGAGACGGAAAGUGUUGGCGGUGCAAAUGUACUACUAGUGGCGGCUAAGUAAUAUCAAGUCAAACGAGAAGAAGAAGAGCAGCAGUAGCAGCAGCAGCAGAAGGGGCAACAUUAACAUUUAAUUGCCAACAUUUAGUUAGCAUUUAGCUUAGCAUAAAACAAAUAGCUAACAAUGCUGCCAACUGAAAAUCCCACGCGCUGCUCUUCAACAUUGAAAAACUACCCCUCCCCCUCCAUCGUCCUGCUCCAUAUAAUGUUGCGCGCUUUAUCACUUAGUUGUGGGUAUAUUUUACACAGAGAAAAACUACGACAUUCAGCCAAAACAAUUUUACCAAGAAAACUUAAGAGAAGGAAUUGCUUUACCACUUUCUCCUAUUCAUCGUGACAUAUGUGCAUAUAAAUAUUGAAAUGUUCUACCUCCUCUGCAGUUCGCAGCUGAAAAUGCGCUCAGUGUACUGGCCUGCAAUGCCUGAAAUUCGCUUUCGUUUUGGGAUUAUUAUUUGCAAAAGCAAAGUCAGCGCCAUAAUUGUUUUAAUUCGCACCCGUUUGCCAGUGAGUUGUUGCUGUGCUGUGUUGUUUGUUAACGUGAUUAAUGGGCGUUAUUGUUAUUGCUGUUGUUAUUGCUAUUGCUGUUGUCACCAGUGACAUGUCAAGGUGACUGGGCACCCGCCGCCACCCAAAAGCCACCCACAAUAGCAGUCACCCACCUGAUAAAGGUUAUUAAAAAGGCGCGCGCCGCAUUUAUUUUAUAUUUUCUUAUAUUUUUACCUUUCAUUUGGUUUUCCGCUUUGCCUAAACUUUGCCACCCCCGCACCCCUUACGAAAAAAAAACGAAAAAGAACAAUAACUAUGACCAGCCAAACAGCUUGUUUAAUAACAACAAUAAAAGCAACAACAAAUGUACAAUAAUAAUGCAGAACAAAGGUUUUGCGAAGUGAGCAAGUGGCUAAUACCCUGGAUUUUUUCUAUGUGUUUUAUAAAAUGCUUAAACUUUGGUUGUUAUUUAUAAGAGUAAUGCUGCAAUAGAAAGAAUUUGGUGUUUUUUUGUAAACAUAUUGUAUAGAUGAUUAAUAUGCCCCGGGAAAGAACGGGGUAUUCGCCACUUGUGGCCAAACAAAUGGCGUUAGCUGGUAGAAUGCGUCAGUUCGCAGUUUGCUUUUCGGUGAAUUUUCCCGCCAACUUGUGUUUGGGGUUACGGGGUACCAGCGACUGUGUGUUUAUUGCCACCAAUACAAACUAUAAAUCCAGUUCACAUACAUAUAUGUGUGUAUGUGUGUGACACAACAAGUGGGCAAAGCUGGUCGGGCCCCCACUUUUUCCACCCAAUGGGCUGUUGUAAACCGAUUGAAUUAGGCGGAAAAUGUCCAAUUCAUUGAAUUUGGGGGAAAUCCCAUGCAUUUGAUACGGAUUCGGUUCAAAAUUCGCUAUAACAUGUGGCCCUACAAUAAAUGUAGAGGAAAUGCCAAGUGAUUUAUGUAUACAGACUCUUAAAGAACUAAAAACAUCAUGAUGAUAUUAAGUACAAAAAAAGUAAUGAUGACUUUGUUUUUAUCACGUUGAAUAGAUUCAGGUCAAGAUAUAAUAAAUAUUAAUUUAUAUUUAGUGAGAUUCCCCACGCCAUACCAUACGUUUUCUAAGUCCUUAUCAUCAUCGCCAUUAACUUGGCUAAUAUUGCAUUUAUUGCUUAACCAUUCAUGGCACUGCGACACCCAAAACUCAGACAUUGUCUGUACAGGAGCUAAGCUCGUUAGAAACCAAUUGACUUUGCCGGAUCAACGACACUCGUAGGAAGACCGGAUGGUCUGCGGAACCGCGUCUGGCCAUCAUUUUGGUCAUUGUACUGGCCUGCGCCUGCACUCAUAGAGAUACAGAUACACUGCUUCCAGAUAGUUUUUUUUUUGGGUUGGACAACUGUCGCCGAUUAGCGCACGCGCCGCGUUUCUUCAAGCAGGUAGAUGUUCCAUAUAGGUAUAUUUGUACCCCCAAAGAGACUGGGUUUUAUGAUACAGCGGCGUCGGGAAUUAUGACGGCGGCUAUCGAUGGCUGGAUGUAUGGAUGGUUCGUUGGUUUUCGCUUGAUGCAACACCGCGGUCAUAUCACUAAAUCAUGCCGUACGGAAAUUGAUUGCCCCGUGAUGAAUAACGAACAGCCAAACUAAGCCACAUUCUUUCCGAUUUCACGAUUGUGAACGUCUUGCGGACUUCUCAGAUAAGGGCUCAUUAGUUGGCCAGCGACCGAGCGACCAAUUGUCGUAUCUGGGGUGUUUGUUUUUGGGGGUUUUCCAGCGUGAAAGACCUCGUGCCGCAUUUCUUUCGUGUUAAUUUCGUCAAUCGUCGCUGGGCGCCAGAAGCAUCUAAUCACAUGUAGCUCCAAACUUACACUUCUUCAUUCUCGUUGGCCAGCCAGUCAGCCAUCAGCCAUCAGCCAUCCAGUCAGCCAUCCAGCUCAUUGUGCAUCAUCACCGUGCUCAGUGGCUUUGGCUUUCGCUCGGUUCGGGUGCUGUUUCCUAUCUGCACAACGAGGAACCAACCGAUAGUCAUGGGGGUUCUAUAAAUAUAAAUAACUGGAAAUAUUUGCAAUUGGCCAUAAGCUUCAACUAGUGUUAUUCACAAAAUCAGUUAAACGUAUUUGGGGCUAUACCCACACAGCUGGCUUAAGACAUUUUUGUGCGUGUGGCCAUGAAUCAGUUGGGUUAAGUCAAUCGCCAUCGAAACCCUGAACUACUGCACCAGUACCAGCACCACAAAGUCGUCAUCGGGCAUUGGGCGUUCAUUGAGUAUCGCACCCACCCAGCCAAGCACCACCAUUACAACCCCCCCCCAUCGGAGCACCACCGAGAUGUGCCUACUCCAGCGAUAAGCAGCUGGAGCGUACAUACACACACCAUACACACCAUAUAGAUCGUGUUCGAGGGCGGGGGGUGGGGGAAGAGGGGCUGGUAGAUAGGAGCCGUGGAGUAUUUCGCUCGAAAUCGUUGUCGAACACACUCACUACCAAGUUCUGCUAACUCGAUUGUGGUUUCACAUUAUCUGAGAUCUGCGGAAUUUUGUGAAAAGUAUCGGUGCUGUGUGCGGGUGUGCCGGGUCCAAAAACUAAAAAGAAAACAAAUCAAAUAAAAUAAAAAACGCUUUGUAAGAUCUAUCGGCACUUAGUCAGCGGACAAGCAAAGGUGUGCGGCUGAGAUAAGUGGGGGAGAUCCAACAAGAGGUGAUCCAUGCUUGGGUUUACGUCUUUACAGGUGAUCAUCUAAAGUUCCCCGAUGGAUAGACUUUCGUCCUGUUGCUGUAUAACUAGAAAUAACUAGAAGCUAUGAGUCUAAAGGCGUAUUACUAGGUAACAUCUCCUGGUACCUAAUGGACUUUAUGAGUCACAGUUCCAUGACUUAAACUCAAACGUAUUCCGCGCCAGUUUCCAGGAGCAAGCCCCACUUUUUCCGAGAUUUUUGUCCUGGACUCCGGUGAUACGGUUUGCUCUGGAAUUCGGUUUGUUUGGCCAGCGUUUUGUGCUUUGGUGUUUUUUUUUUGUUUUUUGUGUUUCCCACAGUUUUCACAGAACGCAAAAUACAAGCCUUAUCAGGCAAUUUAUAUUUAUCACAACGCCAACAGAAACAGAAACGAUCUCACGGAUCGUCAUCCUCAUCGGAGUCUGGUAUCAGUAUCAAAUGAUUACCCGCAUCUACACUGGGCGCAAAUAAUUUAUUUAAUUUUCAUAUAUGUUGCUAAGUAUAAUUGCUGUUACGAAUAUUUGGUAAAUAAUAAAUAUUCUCUUUUCUUUUA
This is a long non-coding RNA of Drosophila yakuba, 5881 nucleotides long. RefSeq lists it as uncharacterized. The transcript has 2 exons. NCBI's taxonomy places the organism in Eukaryota, Metazoa, Arthropoda, Insecta, Diptera, Drosophilidae. The record is from RefSeq and is a predicted model, not a curated record.